CUAAGAUUUUAAGUUAAUUAAACUAUUAAUCUUCAAAAUUAAAAAUAAAAUAUCAUUAAAUCUUA
This 65-nucleotide transfer RNA is filed under the name Meitanaphis elongallis. RNAcentral's name for it is "tRNA-Trp". Lineage: Eukaryota; Metazoa; Arthropoda; Insecta; Hemiptera; Aphididae. The record is from RNAcentral.